Molecule: ribosomal RNA, 508 nt
Filed under: uncultured bacterium
Lineage: Bacteria
Description: bacterial SSU rRNA
Rfam family: Bacterial small subunit ribosomal RNA
Source: RNAcentral
UUCGGAGAUACGCGAAGAACUUUACCUAGCCUUGACAUUGAUUGAACUCAGUAGAGAUACAGAGGUGCCCUUCGGGGAGCAUGAAAACAGGUGCUGCACGGCUGUCGUCAGCUCGUGUCGUGAGAUGUUGGGUUAAGUCCCGCAACGAGCGCAACCCUCGUCUUUAGUUGCCAGCAGGUUAAGCUGGGCACUCUAAAGAGACUGCCUUCGCAAGGAGGAGGAAGGUGAGGACGACGUCAAGUCAUCAUGGCCCUUACGGCUAGGGCUACACACGUGCUACAAUGGGGCGUACAGAGAGUUGCGAUACCGCGAGGUGGAGCUAAUCUCUUAAAGCGUCUCUCAGUUCGGAUUGGAGUCUGCAACUCGACUCCAUGAAGCUGGAAUCACUAGUAAUCGUAGAUCAGCAAUGCUACGGUGAAUACGUUCCCGGGUCUUGUACUCACCGCCCGUCACACCAUGGGAGUUGAUUUCACCCGAAAUUGGGAAGCUAACCUUCGGGAGGCUACCA